Molecule: ribosomal RNA, 374 nt
Filed under: uncultured organism
Description: partial 16S ribosomal RNA
Rfam family: Bacterial small subunit ribosomal RNA
Source: RNAcentral
GUAGGAGGCGAGCGUUAUCCGGAAUUACUGGGCGUAAAGGGCGUGUAGAUGGUUUUUUAAGUCGGCUGUGAAAUCUCCCGGCUCAACCGGGAGGGGUCAGUCGAUACUGGGAAACUUGAGUGCAGCAGAGGAAGGUGGAAUUCCCGGUGUAGCGGUGGAAUGCGUAGAUAUCGGGAGGAACACCAGUGGCGAAGGCGGCCUUCUGGGCUGUAACUGACAUUGAGGCGCGAAAGCGUGGGGAGCGAAGCAGAUCAGAUACCCGCGUAGUCCACGCCCUAAACGGUGGACACUAGGUAUGGGGGGUAUCGACCCCCCCUCCCGUGCCGUAGCUAACGCUUUAAGUGUCCCGCCUGGGGACUACGAUUGCAAGAUUA